AUGCAGCCUGCUUCUGCAAAGUGGUACGAUCAAAGGCACUAUGUCUUCAUUGAAUUUUGUGUUGAAGACAGUAAGGAUGUUAAUGUAAAUUUUGAAAAAUCCAAACUUACAUUCAGUUGUCUCGGAGGAAGUGAUAAUUUUAAGCAUUUAAAUGAAAUUGAUCUUUUUCACUGUAUUGAUACAAACGAUUCCAAGCAUAAAAGAACGGACAGAUCAAUUUUAUGUUGUUUACGAAAAGGAGAAUCUGGACAGUCAUGGCCAAGGUUAACAAAAGAAAGGGCAAAGCUUAAUUGGCUUAGUGUUGACUUCAAUAAUUGGAAAGACUGGGAAGAUGAUUCAGAUGAAGACAUGUCUAAUUUUGAUCGUUUCUCUGAGAUGAUGAAUAACAUGGGUGGUGAUGAGGAUGUAGAUUUACCAGAAGUAGAUGGAGCAGAUGAUGAUUCACAAGACAGUGAUGAUGAAAAAAUGCCAGAUCUGCAGUAA
RNAcentral lists this long non-coding RNA (483 nucleotides) under Homo sapiens (human). RNAcentral's name for it is "non-protein coding lnc-GBP2-1:2". Lineage: Eukaryota; Metazoa; Chordata; Mammalia; Primates; Hominidae. The record is from RNAcentral.